GACGAACGCUGGCGGCGUGCUUAACACAUGCAAGUCGAACGAUGAAGCCUUUCGGGGUGGAUUAGUGGCGAACGGGUGAGUAACACGUGGGUAAUCUGCCCUGCACUCUGGGAUAAGCCCGGGAAACUGGGUCUAAUACCGGAUAUGACUUUCUUACGCAUGUAGGAAGGUGGAAAGUUCCGGCGGUGCAGGAUGAACCCGCGGCCUAUCAGCUUGUUGGUGGGGUAAGUGGCCUACCAAGGCGACGACGGGUAGCCGGCCUGAGAGGGCGACCGGUCACACUGGGACUGAGACACGGCCCAGACUCCUACGGGAGGCAGCAGUGGGGAAUAUUGCACAAUGGGCGAAAGCCUGAUGCAGCGACGCCGCGUGAGGGAUGACGGCC
RNAcentral lists this ribosomal RNA (385 nucleotides) under uncultured bacterium. RNAcentral's name for it is "bacterial SSU rRNA". It matches the Rfam family "Bacterial small subunit ribosomal RNA", at positions 28 to 416 of the family's 1533-position model. The record is from RNAcentral.